AAGAUCUCAAUCUCAAAAGUGGGAAACUGAUUCUAAAUUUGAUUGAUAAUUAUGAUUUUGCUCAAAGUACAAAUCUAGACAUACAAGAUAUAGCCCCUUGCACCACCUCUAGUAUGCAUCAUCCCUUACCUCAUACAAACCACCAUAGUGACAUACAACCACCAAACACUUAUGUUGACAUUUUAUUUCUUGCAUUCUCGUUGCUUUUCAUCAUUUCUAUUUCAAUUACACUCCAGCCAUACCAGUUGUGCAUUCAUAGUUUCUUGUAUUAGUUGGAUUUUUCUUCACCAAGAGUUUGUAUUUUGUCUUUUUGGAAACAUUCACAAUACUGCAAUUUGUUUCUAAUAAAUAGAAUACUUUCUUUCUGACGUAGAAGAUCAAAUUAAAAUGUAACCAUAGACCAUAAUAAGAUCUUCUAUGUGAAUGGCACUAAAAAAGGCUUUCUUGAUAAGUCGUAUUUUGUUAGACCCAAGGGUAAAAUUGUAAUUUCAUAAUGUACAUGGAAAAUUUGUAAUUUCUGUAAAAAAAUGGGGCAAAAGUUCAGGGGGUAACUUUGUAAUAUUGAAAAGUUUAGGGGAAAAUUUGUAAUUUUAAAAGUUUUUGGGGCAAAUAUGUAAUUUCAAAUAAUUUUUUAUAACAUGGCAUAGAACCAUCAUAGUUGACAUACAACCACUUAGUCACUUACGAUGACAUUUUAUUUCUUACAUUCUCAUUACUUCAUUACAAUUCUUUCUGAGGCCUCUAGGAUUACUAUAAAUAAG
Molecule: long non-coding RNA, 761 nt
Filed under: Medicago truncatula (barrel medic)
Lineage: Eukaryota; Viridiplantae; Streptophyta; Magnoliopsida; Fabales; Fabaceae
Description: long non-coding RNA (MTRU_LNC007083)
Source: RNAcentral